UUUGUUAAGGUAAAAACUCGUAAAUUUUUAGUAACUUCUAUUUUCGUUUCAGUUCAAAACUGAAUUUAAAUGGAAUUUUUAAAAAACGAGUUCAAGACUAACAAAAAAUAUUCAAAUUUCUGAGUGUUAACGCGUUUGUGUUAAAUAUUCCAAGAGAAUCAGUGAACAAAAGGAAAACUCAAAGUUUCCCCCAAUUACGAAAAUUAAUUAAUAAUUAAUAAUUAAAAUUUAUUUCCUAUUUCAAUUCAUCAAAAAAUAAUCAACAAAAAUUUCUUUGUUGUACAGAACUACAUUCCAAACCCAAUUAAAUUCAAAAUGUCAAUUGAUAUGUGUUAAAUAUCACGAGACUUGACCCUUAAAAUUUGUGCUGAAGUGAAUGACAAAUACCCCUCGACAAAAGUUUAGUAAUUAUCUCUCCUAAAAUAUUUAAUUAAUCAAAAUUAUUUUUCGCGAAUGUAAUACUCCCGGCAUCUGACAUUUUUCCAUGAAAUAUCCCGAGUAAUGAGACGCCCACGUGCUCAGAAAAUGUGAAGAAAUGAACUGCUGAUACGCCCGUAGAGACCGUCACAAGAGAUAAUAAGAUUUUCCUCUUUCUCCGCCCCUUUCUAAACAAUUUUUACCCCACGCGCUAUUAUAUCAAAGCGCCGGGGAAAUACCACCAGUCAAGUGUCAAACCCACUCUCAUUCUGCAAACAUUGACAGCAAAAAAAAAUUGCCAUCUGUGUGAAAGUGAACAACUACAGAUACAACAGUUCGAAAAAGUGAGACAAGUGUGAAUCACCCCUACAACCCCUAUUCAGUGGUUGGAGAGGAUUUAUACCGAAUUCAGUGCUAAUGUGAAGUGCAAAGUUUCUGUGCUAAAUGUUCAGUCGCAAACACGGAUAUUCAUUACACUGUCAUGUAAACACAUCUCCGCCGAUACUGCAGGAAGUCUUGCACCUGUCGUCGACAACGUACCCGGUGGAAGCUGUUGUAUCGUCAUGAAGAUCCAAUUCCAACAUUGAAGAUGACUUACUUCAUGUCCCUCCGCCCCAGCGGCAAAAUAUCAACGUAUGUCGUAAGUUCACGUAAAAGCUCAAUCCAAUUAUCACCUACAUCACCUGGAACUGAAUACAGUGAGCGCACAUCCGCCAAAUAUGGCUGUGAAAACAUCCUCAUCAUCAACAAGGUCCAAGUUAAAGAUAAUGUUCAAGGAUUUACGAUGCACUCACCUAGCGCGCAUCAUUCCAGGUAUCUCUUACAGGUAUCCUAAUUGUCUCCAUGCACGACACCCUAACAGAACCAACACUCGAAGAUCGAAACCACAACUGUUUGUUUUCCAAGUAAUAGUCCAAGUUCAACUUGAAUCGAAUCGAUUUAAUCGCUUGGCGAACGUUAAUAGUUUGUAUUCGGAGUAUAUCGAUACCUUGACCGAAUUACACAAACUCAAUUAUUGAAUAAUCAACGGAACCGAAGAUAAUCGCUGACCAUCGAAGGAUCAAUCGAUCGAUUUUCAAAUCGUAAGUUUAUGACAUGGGUUACCAUUCCAUUAAUGUUAUCAGUAAUUCCUGUCCUCCAACGCGUCUCCUCAUCAUCGAGAUGCUGUCAUGAACAGGAUACGUCGUACAGUCGGGGGAAAAAGUUCGCGGCAUAUUCUCGAAAUGGUUCGGUGAGAUCGGUUUGGCUGGGAAAAUUUACCGGGUCAAAUUUUCCUGGAAAUUAUUUCCGUACGAUUGGGGUUCAGUGACGAUGGGGAAAAGAGAGAUCAGUUGACUUAUCACCCCGUGCAGUUUUUUAGGAAUAUCUUGGAAUCUAGGGGAGAUGGAAAAAUUUUUGUAAUUACCAUUUUUGAAGAACUCGAUUCGCUGCACAAAAAAGGUCCUGACGAAAAUUUUGGUAUCUUCUUCAGAUU
Long non-coding RNA from Diachasmimorpha longicaudata, 1891 nucleotides. RefSeq lists it as uncharacterized. The record is from RefSeq and is a predicted model, not a curated record. The transcript has 3 exons. NCBI's taxonomy places the organism in Eukaryota, Metazoa, Arthropoda, Insecta, Hymenoptera, Braconidae.